CCUACGGGAGGCAGCAGUGGGGAAUAUUGCACAAUGGGCGCAAGCCUGAUGCAGCGACGCCGCGUGAGGGAUGACGGCCUUCGGGUUGUAAACCUCUUUCAGUAGGGAAGAAGCGUAAGUGACGGUACCUGCAGAAGAAGCGCCGGCUAACUACGUGCCAGCAGUCGCGGUAAUACGUAGGGCGCAAGCGUUAUCCGGAAUUAUUGGGCGUAAAGAGCUCGUAGGCGGUUUGUCGCGUCUGCCGUGAAAGUCCGGGGCUCAACUCCGGAUCUGCGGUGGGUACGGGCAGACUAGAGUGAUGUAGGGGAGACUGGAAUUCCUGGUGUAGCGGUGAAAUGCGCAGAUAUCAGGAGGAACACCGAUGGCGAAGGCAGGUCUCUGGGCAUUAACUGACGCUGAGGAGCGAAAGCAUGGGGAGCGAACAGGAUUAGAUACCCUGGUAGUCCAUGCCGUAAACGUUGGGCACUAGGUGUGGGGGACAUUCCACGUUUUCCGCGCCGUAGCUAACGCAUUAAGUGCCCGCCUGGGGAGUACGGCCGCAAGGCUAAACUCAAAUUGAAUUGACGGCUGNGNGNGCGAGCGACGACGAGGAGAG
RNAcentral lists this ribosomal RNA (595 nucleotides) under uncultured bacterium. Its description in RNAcentral is "bacterial SSU rRNA". It matches the Rfam family "Bacterial small subunit ribosomal RNA", at positions 338 to 944 of the family's 1533-position model. The record is from RNAcentral.